Molecule: ribosomal RNA, 632 nt
Filed under: uncultured bacterium
Lineage: Bacteria
Description: bacterial SSU rRNA
Rfam family: Bacterial small subunit ribosomal RNA
Source: RNAcentral
AGUCGUACGAGAAAUCCCGAGCUUGCUUGGGAGAGUAAAGUGGCGCACGGGUGAGUAACGCGUGGGUAACCCACCUUCGAAUCUGGGAUAACUCCGCGAAAGCGGUGCUAAUACCGGAUAAGACCACAGCCGUUUCGGCGGCAGAGGUAAAAGCUGACCUCUCCAUGGAAGUUAGCGUUCGAGGACGGGCCCGCGUCCUAUCAGCUUGUUGGUGGGGUAAAGGCCUACCAAGGCAGCGACGGGUAGCUGGUCUGAGAGGAUGAUCAGCCACACUGGAACUGGAACACGGUCCAGACUCCUACGGGAGGCAGCAGUGAGGAAUUUUGCGCAAUGGGGGAAACCCUGACGCAGCAACGCCGCGUGGGUGAAGAAGGCUUUCGGGUCGUAAAGCCCUGUCAGGUGGGAAGAACCGUUUCGAUACUAAUAAUGUCGAAGCCUGACGGUACCACCAGAGGAAGCACCGGCCAACUCCGUGCCAGCAGCCGCGGUAAUACGGAGGGUGCAAGCGUUGUUCGGAAUUAUUGGGCGUAAAGAGCGUGUAGGCGGUUCGGUAAGUCAGAUGUGAAAGCCCUGGGCUCAACCCAGGAAGUGCAUUUGAAACUACCAGACUUGAGUACGGGAGAGGAGGGGGG